Molecule: ribosomal RNA, 600 nt
Filed under: uncultured fungus
Lineage: Eukaryota; Fungi
Description: eukaryotic LSU rRNA
Rfam family: Eukaryotic large subunit ribosomal RNA
Source: RNAcentral
AUAUCAAUAAGCGGAGGAAAAGAAACCAACAGGGAUUGCCUUAGUAACGGCGAGUGAAGUGGCAAAAGCUCAGAUUUGAAAUCUGAUGUCAAUUUGGCAUCUGAGUUGUAAUCUGUAGAGGAGUAUUCAAGUAUGACUUUGGCUAAGUUUUCUUAGAAUAGAGCAUCAUAGAAGGUGAGAAUCCUGUCUAUAGUUAAAGUUUUAUGCUUAUAUGAAUCUCCUUCAAUGAGUCGAGUUGUUUGGGAAUGCAGCUCUAAAUUGGUGGUAAAUUCCAUCUAAAGCUAAAUAUUGGCAAGAGACCGAUAGUGCACAAGUAGAGUGAUCGAAAGAUGAAAAGAACUCUGAACAGAGAGUUAAAUAGUACGUGAAAUUGUUGAAAGGGAAGCACUUGCAACUAGAUAUAUUUAGAACUAAUCAAUUACUAUUUAUUAGUGAUGCACUUAGUUUUAAAUGCGUCAAUAUGAGUUAUCAUAAGCAGGAAAAAGAUUGAUGGAAUGUAGCUCUCUUCGGGGAGUGUUAUAGCUGUUAAUUGAAUACUGCUCGUUAUGACUGAGGACUGCACUGAAUAAGUAAGGAUAUUGACAUAAUGGUUGUAAGUGA